GAGCAAUCCAUGAGUAGAGUGGCAAACGGGUGAGUAACGCGUGGGCGACCUACCUCAGAGUGGGGGAUAACCUUCCGAAAGGAGGGCUAAUACCGCAUGACAUACCGUGUUUGGAUACACGGAUAUCAAAGCCGGGGAUCGCAAGACCUGGCGCUUGGAGAGGGGCCCGCGUCCGAUUAGCUAGUUGGUGAGGUAACGGCUCACCAAGGCUCCGAUCGGUAUCCGGCCUGAGAGGGCGGACGGACACACUGGAACUGAGACACGGUCCAGACUCCUACGGGAGGCAGCAGUGGGGAAUUGUUCGCAAUGGGCGCAAGCCUGACGACGCAACGCCGCGUGGAGGAUGAAGACUUUCGGGUCGUAAACUCCUUUCGACCGAGAUGAAUUUCCCACGACCUAACACGUCGUGGGAGUGACAGUAUCGAGGGAAGAAGCCCCGGCUAACUCCGUGCCAGCAGCCGCGGUAAUACGGGGGGGGCAAGCGUUGUUCGGAAUUACUGGGCGUAAAGGGUUUGUAGGUGGCUUGUUAAGUCAGACGUGAAAUCCCUCAGCUUAACUGGGGAACUGCGUCUGAUACUGGCGAGCUUGAGUGCAGGAGAGGAACGCGGAAUUCCAGGUGUAGCGGUGAAAUGCGUAGAUAUCUGGAGGAACACCGGUGGCGAAGGCGGCGUUCUGGACUGCAACUGACACUGAUAAACGAAAGCCAGGGUAGCAAACGGGAUU
Molecule: ribosomal RNA, 723 nt
Filed under: uncultured bacterium
Lineage: Bacteria
Description: bacterial SSU rRNA
Rfam family: Bacterial small subunit ribosomal RNA
Source: RNAcentral